This is a non-coding RNA of Oryzias latipes (Japanese medaka), 987 nucleotides long. NCBI's taxonomy places the organism in Eukaryota, Metazoa, Chordata, Actinopteri, Beloniformes, Adrianichthyidae. The record is from RefSeq and is a predicted model, not a curated record.
UUUCUAAACUGUCGUUUUCUUGGACAUAGUUUCUGUAGAGCGGCAGUUCAUUACCUCUGAGUUGUGGGUGGGAAUGUUUGGACUGGAGUAACCCUCUACUGACAUUUCAUGGAAUCUCUGGUUACACUCUGUCCCACGAGCUUACAGCCCCUCACAAUUACAACCAUGGCCGGCCCUCCCUAUACGCGAAUUACGCAGCCGCGUAGGGCCCCCGUCACUAUCAGGGCCCCGAAGUGGCGAAAAAAUAAACAAAAAAGACCCAAACCUGGCAACCAAUUUCAUAGAAUUUACGUACCAGCGUGCGCUCUGAAUGUUGUGCAAGAGAAAGUUGCCUGCACUUUUGUGAUCCCCCCUUCAACACACCUGAACCAAUCUGGCAACCCAAAUAAGGACGUUACGCCCCUCUUAGCAGCGAUUGGUCAACAUCAUUGCAUCUGAGCCUGGCACACUGUGUAUUUACGAGCUCAUUUUAUUUCAAUAAAGUUGGGGAAAAGAAAAAAACGAGCACAUUUUGUCACACUGAUCAAAGCGACAACAAGACAACUUCAUGCCAUUAGUGACUUUAUCCAUCAUUAGGAGCUGAAAAAAGAUGAAGAAUUCAACAUCAGUCACAAGUAUUGGAGGUGGUGCAGCGUCCACAUCCCAAGAUGUUCCUGACUUCACUGAAGAUGUCAUCUCAGAGGCUCCAAGAGAGGCGUGUAUGGAAGAGGAGCCUACUGGAUCCAAAAUUCCACCUACCGGUACCUCAAACCCAGUUGGUCAAGCUGAAUGACCAACCACACUCUUAGAUCCAGUAAGAAUGGAUUUGGUGCAAAGAGGUCCUUUUCAGACUGAAAAAGACUCUGACUUUCUAAAAUCCCCCUCAGUGAGCUGUUGUUUUCUUUAUGUAUGAUUGUUUUAUCGUUAUCUGAUUUGGUAUUAAGUUGCUGUUUUUAAUAAGUUGGAGUUUUGUGAAUGUCAUUUGUUGAGUGCCUAAUGUUACAUUAA